GACGAACGCUGGCGGCGUGCUUAACACAUGCAAGUCGAGCGAUGAAGCACCUUCGGGUGUGAAUUAGCGGCGAACGGGUGAGGAACACGUGAAGAAUCUGCCUUCAACUCUGGGAUAACUCCGGGAAACCGGGGCUAAUACCGGAUAUGAGCCUUGAUCGCAUGAUCGGGGCUGGAAAGUUUUUCGGUUGAAGAUGACUUCGCGGCCUAUCAGCUUGUUGGUGAGGUAAUGGCUCACCAAGGCGACGACGGGUAGCCGGCCUGAGAGGGCGACCGGCCACACUGGGACUGAGACACGGCCCAGACUCCUACGGGAGGCAGCAGUGGGAAUAUGGGCAAUGGAGGAAACUCUGACCCAGCGACGCCGCGUGAGGGAUGAA
RNAcentral lists this ribosomal RNA (379 nucleotides) under uncultured bacterium. RNAcentral's name for it is "bacterial SSU rRNA". It matches the Rfam family "Bacterial small subunit ribosomal RNA", at positions 28 to 412 of the family's 1533-position model. The record is from RNAcentral.